This 497-nucleotide ribosomal RNA is filed under the name uncultured bacterium. Its description in RNAcentral is "partial 16S ribosomal RNA". It matches the Rfam family "Bacterial small subunit ribosomal RNA", at positions 28 to 507 of the family's 1533-position model. The record is from RNAcentral.
GAUGAACGCUGGCGGCGUGCCUAAUACAUGCAAGUCGAGCGAACGGACGAGAAGCUUGCUUCUCUGAUGUUAGCGGCGGACGGGUGAGCAACACGUGGAUAACCUACCUAUAAGACUGGGAUAACUUCGGGAAACCGGAGCUAAUACCGGAUGAUAUUUUGAACCGCAUGGUUCAAAAGUGAAAGACGGUCUUGCUGUCACUUAUAGAUGGAUCCGCGCUGCAUUGGCUAGUUGGUAAGGUAACGGCUUACCAAGGCAACGAUGCAUAGCCGACCUGAGAGGGUGGUCGCCCACACUGGAACUGAGACACGGUCCAGACUCCUACGGGAGGCAGCAGUAGGGAAUCUUCCGCAAUGGGCGAAAGCCUGACGGAGCAACGCCGCGUGAGUGAUGAAGGUCUUCUGAUCGUAAAACUCUGUUAUUAGGGAAGAACAUAUGUGUAAUUAACUGUGCACAUCUUGACGGUACCUAAUCAGAAAGCCACGGCUAACUACGUG